GAUUAAAGACUGACUAAGCAUGUAGCGCCAUUAGUUAGACUGGUUUUGGACGCGGGUUCAACUCCCGCCAGCUCCACCA
This 79-nucleotide transfer-messenger RNA is filed under the name Photobacterium damselae subsp. damselae. Its description in RNAcentral is "partial transfer-messenger RNA". It matches the Rfam family "transfer-messenger RNA", at positions 293 to 374 of the family's 374-position model. Rfam says of the family: Bacterial tmRNA, also known as 10Sa RNA or SsrA, is named for its dual tRNA and mRNA-like properties. Its role is to liberate the mRNA from a stalled ribosome. The record is from RNAcentral. Lineage: Bacteria; Pseudomonadati; Pseudomonadota; Gammaproteobacteria; Vibrionales; Vibrionaceae.